GCCUUGGAGAUUUAAAACCAAGUAAAAGUGU
RNAcentral lists this non-coding RNA (31 nucleotides) under Mus musculus (house mouse). The record is from RNAcentral. Lineage: Eukaryota; Metazoa; Chordata; Mammalia; Rodentia; Muridae.